RNAcentral lists this ribosomal RNA (253 nucleotides) under uncultured bacterium. Its description in RNAcentral is "partial 16S ribosomal RNA". It matches the Rfam family "Bacterial small subunit ribosomal RNA", at positions 524 to 776 of the family's 1533-position model. The record is from RNAcentral.
UACGGGGGGGGUAAGCGUUGUUCGGAAUUACUGGGCGUAAAGGGCUCGUAGGCGGCCAACUAAGUCGGACGUGAAAUCCCUCAGCUUAACUGGGGAACUGCGUCCGAUACUGGAUGGCUUGGAUUUGGGAGAGGGAUGCGGAAUUCCAGGUGUAGCGGUGAAAUGCGUAGAUAUCUGGAGGAACACCGGUGGCGAAGGCGGCAUCCUGGACCAAUAUUGACGCUGAGGAGCGAAAGCCAGGGGAGCAAACGGA